GCGGCGAUGCUUACCUGCAGUCGAGCGGCCUGCGGGAUUCUUGCUGCUGUGGAGUGGCGAACGGAUGAGUGAUACUCGGAGCGUGCCCUGUCUGGGGGAAUGACUAAACUACAGAUUACCUAAUACCGCAUACGACCUGAGGUUGACCUUGGUGGACCGCGAGGGCUCGAGCUACAGGAGCGUCCGAUGCCUGAGUACCUAGGUGGCGUUAUAAAAGCCUACCAAGGCGACGAUCAGUAGCUGGCCUGAGAGGACGAUCAGCCACACUGGGACUGAGACACGUGCCCAGACUCCUACGGGAGGCACUCCUGGGGAAUUUUGGACAAUGGAAUCUUCCCUGAUCCAGCAAUGCCGCGUGUGUGAAGAAGGCCUUCGUGAUGUAAAGUUCUUUUGUCCGGAAAGAAAUGGCUCUGGUUAAUACCCGGGGUCGAUGACGCUACCGGAAUAAUAAGCACCGGCUAACUACGUGCCAGCAGCCGCGGGAAUACGUACGGGGCGAGAGUUAAUCGGAAUUACUGGUCGUAAAGUGUGGGCAGGCGAGUUUGUAAGACAGGCGUGAAAUCCCCGAUGUCAACUUGCGAAUGUCGCUUGUGACUGCAAGGUUAAAGCAUGUCAGAGGGAGGGAGAAUUCCACGUGUAGCAGUGCACUGCGUACAGAUGUGUAGGAAUACCGAUGGAGAAGGCACCCCCCUGAGACGUCACUGACGCUCAUGCACUGAAGCGUGGGGAGCAAACAGUAUUAGAUACCCUGGAAUACCUCGCCCUAAACGAUGCCAACUAGAUGAUGAGGAUUCAUUUCUUCAGUAACGUAGCUAACUCGUGAAGUUGAUCGCCUGUUGAGUACUCUCGCUGGAUAAAACUCAAAGGAACUGACGCUCACCCGCACUAGCGU
RNAcentral lists this ribosomal RNA (892 nucleotides) under Cupriavidus necator. RNAcentral describes it as "bacterial SSU rRNA". It matches the Rfam family "Bacterial small subunit ribosomal RNA", at positions 39 to 932 of the family's 1533-position model. The record is from RNAcentral. Lineage: Bacteria; Pseudomonadati; Pseudomonadota; Betaproteobacteria; Burkholderiales; Burkholderiaceae.